Molecule: ribosomal RNA, 468 nt
Filed under: uncultured bacterium
Lineage: Bacteria
Description: partial 16S ribosomal RNA
Rfam family: Bacterial small subunit ribosomal RNA
Source: RNAcentral
GACGAACGCUGGCGGCGUGCUUAACACAUGCAAGUCGAACGGAAAGGCCCUGCUUUUGUGGGGUGCUCGAGUGGCGAACGGGUGAGUAACACGUGAGUAACCUGCCCUUGACUUUGGGAGAACUUCAGGAAACUGGGGCUAAUACCGGAUAUGAGCUCCUGCUGCAUGGUGGGGGUUGGAAAGUUUCGGCGGUUGGGGAUGGACUCGCGGCUUAUCAGCUUGUUGGUGGGGUAGUGGCUUACCAAGGCUUUGACGGGUAGCCGGCCUGAGAGGGUGACCGGCCACAUUGGGACUGAGAUACGGCCCAGACUCCUACGGGAGGCAGCAGUGGGGAAUAUUGCACAAUGGGCGGACGCCUGAUGCAGCAACGCCGCGUGCGGGAUGACGGCCUUCGGGUUGUAAACCGCUUUCGCCUGUGACGAAGCGUGAGUGACGGUAAUGGGUAAAGAAGCACCGGCUAACUACGUG